UCUGGUGAUUAUAGCGAAGGGGUUCCACUCGUUCCCAUCCCGAACACGACAGUUAAGCCCUUCAGCGCCGAUGGUACUUGGGGUGCAGACCCCUGGGAGAGUAGGUCGUUGCCAGGC
RNAcentral lists this ribosomal RNA (117 nucleotides) under Thermoflavimicrobium daqui. The record is from RNAcentral. Lineage: Bacteria; Bacillati; Bacillota; Bacilli; Caryophanales; Thermoactinomycetaceae.